RNAcentral lists this ribosomal RNA (497 nucleotides) under uncultured bacterium. RNAcentral's name for it is "partial 16S ribosomal RNA". It matches the Rfam family "Bacterial small subunit ribosomal RNA", at positions 29 to 507 of the family's 1533-position model. The record is from RNAcentral.
AGUGAACGCUGGCGGCAUGCCUAAUACAUGCAAGUCGAGCGGACGGACGGUAAGAUCGCGUUUCUACUGUUAGCGACGGGCGGGUGAGUAAGACGUAGAUCACCUUCCUCUUAGUCUUGGGUGACAUCGGGAGACCGGAGAUACUAAUGGAUCAUAUGUCGUACCGCAUGGAUCAAGAGUGCUUGACGCUUUUGCUGACUCUUAUAGCUGGUUCCGCGUUGGAUUAGCUAGUUGGUAAGGUAACGGCUAACCAAGGCAACGAAGCGUAGCUGACCUGAGAGGAUGAUCAGCCACACUGGAACUGAGACACGGUCCAGACUCCUACGGGAGGCAGCAGUAGGGAAUCUUCGGCAAUGGGCGAAAGCCUGAUCCAGCCACGCCGCGUGAGUGAAGAAGGUCUUCGGAUUGUAAAGCCCUUUUAUUAGGGAAGAACAGCAGUGUGUUAAUCUCUGGCUGUCUUGACGGUACCUAAUCAAUAAGCCACGGCUAACUUCGUG